RNAcentral lists this ribosomal RNA (253 nucleotides) under uncultured bacterium. Its description in RNAcentral is "partial 16S ribosomal RNA". It matches the Rfam family "Bacterial small subunit ribosomal RNA", at positions 524 to 776 of the family's 1533-position model. The record is from RNAcentral.
UACGGAGGGUGCAAGCGUUAAUCGGAAUUACUGGGCGUGAAGCGCACGCAGGCGGUUUGUUAAGUCAGAUGUGAAAUCCCCGGGCUCAACCCGGGAACUGCAUUGGAAACUGGCAGACUUGAGUCUUGUAGAGGGAGGUAGAAUUCCAGGUGUAGCGGUGAAAUGCGUAGAGAUCUGGAGGAAUACCGGUGGCGAAGGCGGCCCCCUGGACGAAGACUGACGCUGAGGUGCGAAAGCGUGGGGAGCAAACAGG